AGAGUUUGAUCAUGGCUCAGAACGAACGCUGGCGGCGUGCUUCAUACAUGCAAGUCGUACGAGAAAGUCUCGCUUCGGCGGGAUUAGUAAAGUGGCGGACGGGUGCGUAACACGUGGGUAAUCUGCCUUGAAGUUGGGGAUAAGCUACCGAAAGGGAGUCUAAUACCGAAUAACGUCUUGAGGGGACAUCCCCUGGGGACCAAAGGAAGCUGAUAUUUAUAAGCUAUCACUUCAAGAUGAGCCCGCGCUUCAUUAGCUAGUUGGUGAGAUAAAAGCUCACCAAGGCUACGAUGGAUAGCCGGCCUGAGAGGGUGUACGGCCACACUGGGACUGAGAUACGGCCCAGACUCCUACGGGAGGCAGCAGUAGGGAAUAUUGCGCAAUGGGCAAAAGCCUGACGCAGCAACGCCGCGUGGGUGAUGAAGUUCUUCGGAAUGUAAAACCCUGUCUAGAGGAAAGAAACUUCCCAAAUCAAAUAGCUUUGGGGACUGACGGUACCUCUGGAGGAAGCUCCGGCCAACUCCGUGCCAGCAGCCGCGGUAAUACGGGGGGAGCAAGCGUUGUUCGGAAUCACUGGGCGUAAAGGGUGUGUAGGCGGGUAAGCAAGUCGGGCGUGAAAACUCCAAGCUUAACUAGGAGCGUGCGUCCGAAACUACUUGUCUUGAGUACGGGAGAGGAAAGUGGAAUUCCUGGUGUAGCGGUGAAAUGCGUAGAUAUCAGGAGGAACACCGGUGGCGAAGGCGGCUUUCUAGCCCGAUACUGACGCUGAGACACGAAGGCUAGGGGAGCAAACAGGAUUAGAUACCCUAGUAGUCC
RNAcentral lists this ribosomal RNA (816 nucleotides) under uncultured bacterium. RNAcentral describes it as "bacterial SSU rRNA". It matches the Rfam family "Bacterial small subunit ribosomal RNA", at positions 8 to 796 of the family's 1533-position model. The record is from RNAcentral.